GAUGAACGCUGGCGGCGUGCCUAACACAUGCAAGUCGAGCGGCAGCGCGGGGUGCUUGCACCCUGUCGGCGAGCGGCGGACGGCUGAGUAACGCGUGGGGACGUGCCCCAAAGUGAGGAAUAACUGCCCGAAAGGGUAGCUAAUACCGCAUAUUAUCUUCGGAUCAAAGGAUUUAUCCGCUUUGGGAGCGGCUCGCGUCGGAUUAGGUAGUUGGUGAGGUAAUGGCUCACCAAGCCGACGAUCUGUAGCUGGUCUGAGAGGAUGACCAGCCAGACUGGAACUGAGACACGGUCCAGACUCCUACGGGAGGCAGCAGUGAGGAAUCUUCCACAAUGGGCGAAAGCCUGAUGGAGCAACGCCGCGUGCAGGACGAAGGCCUUCGGGUUGUAAACUGCUUUUAUAAGUGAGGAAUAUGACGGUAACUUAUGAAUAAGGAUCGGCUAACUACGUG
This 451-nucleotide ribosomal RNA is filed under the name uncultured bacterium. Its description in RNAcentral is "partial 16S ribosomal RNA". It matches the Rfam family "Bacterial small subunit ribosomal RNA", at positions 28 to 507 of the family's 1533-position model. The record is from RNAcentral.